CCUACGGGGGGCUGCAGUAAGGAAUAUUCCGCAAUGGGCGCAAGCCUGACGGAGCGACGCCGCGUGGAGGAUGAAGUCCUUCGGGAUGUAAACUUCAAUAGUUUGUGAGGAAGUGAAGGGACCUAAUACGUCCUGAUUUGACCAGCAGACGAAAGGGGUGGCUAACUCCGUGCCAGCAGCCGCGGUAAUACGGAGACCCCAAGCGUUGUUCGGAAUCACUGGGCUUAGAGCGGGUGUAGGCGGAGCGGUAAGUACUUUGUGAAAUCCCCGGGCUCAACCCGGGAAUUGCUUGGUAUACUGCCGUUCUUGAGGCAGGCAGGGGUCACUGGAACCUUAGGUGGAGCGGUGAAAUGCGUAGAUAUCUAAGGGAACGCCUGUGGCGAAAGCGGGUGACUGGGCCUGUUCUGACGCUGAGACCCGAAAGCGUGGGUAGCAAACGGGAUUAGAUACCCCUGUAGUC
Molecule: ribosomal RNA, 460 nt
Filed under: uncultured bacterium
Lineage: Bacteria
Description: bacterial SSU rRNA
Rfam family: Bacterial small subunit ribosomal RNA
Source: RNAcentral